CGGGUGUUUCUCUGCUCCUUCACGCCUUGUGGGAAGGAGCCUUGCGGACGUAAGUCAGCUGAGGUCGCGAGGUUUACCUUCGUGUGCCUCCAGUCCUCACAACCUGCCCGAGACGGGGCGAAGCGCACAGAGAGGAUGUUCCAUGGAUAGAUAGAAACCGUGUGGGACUCGCUCUCUGUGGGCGGACGGGGACUUCCACUUUUUUUCACACGAAUAGAGUCGGCGCAAGUCGGUGUUCAGUGAACGCCACGCAUGAACUGGCGCUUCAUCGUUCAAGCGCAUUUCCUCGGAGGUGCCGUCGCCGGUAAAAAUGCUGUGCAAGAGGCACCUCGCAGAGCAGCGCAUGGAAAUUCGAGUUGUGUUUUCUUUGGAGUGUUGUGGUUCACAGUUAGAGCGCUACGAAAUUCCUAUGUUUCACUCCAAGUUUUCGAGCGAUUUAGUACUCGACAACGCAAACAGAGGAGACACCUGUCGCGGCAGUGUUGCCACUUGGAAGAUUCGUAGGUUUCAGCGGAAGCAUCUGCCUGGUCCAUCGCGCAUGUUAACGUCAAAAUGGUUUCAAUGUAGCUUCACUAAACAGUGAGGAUGCGGUCGCUGCUAGCACCCGUGCUGCUGACGGUCUGUUUCCUGGCAAUGAUCGCACAGUCUAUACCUCGGUGCGGGUUUUGGGUGCAGUUAGGAGCCACCUAGCGGUCCGGUGAAGUUACGACCAUAGACUUCAGACCGCUUUGUUGACAGUAUUCUAAAGGUUUUUGCAAGGAAAGUGUAUGCUGAGUUCUUACUGGUGUGGGUACCGGCAUUCAUAGCACGUAUCUCGAUACCUGAAGUGUGUGCAGGGCACGAGCUAAAAUUUGGGGUUCCAGAGCAGCCGCCGUAGCGCCGGAUGAACGAUCCAGAGUUGGACGAAUCAACCCACACGCGUAGCAUAUGAGACCUGAUUUUAGAGAGUGGCGUCGUUGGGGUGUGAGCCGCAGAGCGGAGCAGGUUUGUAAUAUUCAUCGUAGAAGAUGACUGUCGCUACACCCGUGCAAACGGUGAGUUAGGGGUAGGGAGGAGUGACGGUUCGCUGGUCAUAAGAGCGUUUUGAGAGGAAGUCAUCUCGACUGAAGUACAGAAUCCGACCUAGCGCAUCUUUUAUGCGUGGUACAGAGGUGGCAGGCGCCGCUUGCCUGAUGUACUUCUCCGCUUCAGGUGGAGAGGCACAUCCGGUUCCUUCGAGGUUACAGGUUGUUUCCUGCAUGUAUUUCGUAUCAUACUUUGUGAACGAUAUAGACUCCUUAUUGAUGAAGCGCAGCGAAGACAGGAGCAUCGUAAGGCUGCUAGCCGGUCAAUUGGUGCCCCCGUCAGCUCCACGAUGUUUUAAAGGGGUUUCAAAGUGGUAGAGCCAGCGCCGUCAACUAAUACUGCUUCCUGAAAGGAUGACAACCCAAUGUGGAUCUCUCGGCAUCAUCGAGUACCAAUACAAAGGCAAUUUAUUCGAGCAACACUGGCGUGUUUAGCUCUUGAUGUGCCAUUGUAGACUGGUUGGUAGCUGCGCUAUGCCGUGGAAGAUGAGUCAGCGAAGAAAAAGACCGUAGAUCCAGGUCAAUUCACAAAGCACUCUGACUAUUUCUUGGACACUAACUCGCUGUUGGGCAAACAGUUCCAGAUUCAAGUUAUUGAGCUCGGGAUGCCCUUUUCAAUUUACCCUGUUGGGUAGACAGUUCCAGAUUCAAGUUAUUGAGCACGGGAUGCCCUUUACGAUUUACCGCCUUAACGGGGAGCUUUAACCUCCCUGUUCGAAUAUCCUCACGACAACGGAGGAUGUGUGACGUUGAAAGGAAGCAUUGUAUUCUUGAGUAGUCCGGUGAAAAUCAGCACGGGAAUUGGCAUGUUCCGCUCUUAAAACCUUCUAAAUUUUGACCACACGGUUGAAAUUGAUUUUCCAUCACUCCCGGUGCCUUGUACGUACUCGAAUAUGUUUCUUGUCUCAGAGGCAGCACAGUUUCUUGCGGCUGUCUUCGGAACGUAUAGGGUGAGCGUUGUGUCGACUGCACUUUCUGUGGCCAGAAUCCCCAUCAGUUGUUCUGAGCGUAGGAUCCCGAGCUCUUUUGUGAUGCACAACGCUGCCACAGUGUCGCUUCUUCAAACUGUGACGCCUCAACUUAAAGGGUCAAGUUGGCUAUGUGGCGCUGCUGUACGAAUCCGUUACUGGAGUCAGUGUGUAUAGCGAGCCCACGGUGCCCUACUUACAUCUUUUUAGGAACUCUUGCCGGGAACCACGCAUCAGUGCACGCCGUAUAAUACGUGAAGAAGCGUGCUGGAUAUCCAAAUAUGACGUUCUCGCUCACCAUUCGCCACGCACACGACCGACAACUCGAUUUCUGCGCGGUCAGAUGCUUCCCAAGGUGUUGUACCUCUUGUGGUCCUAUUGCAAUUUUGAGCCGUCACUGUCAUUUUACGCGACGCUGCGUUAAUGCAGUUUCCUGUUAUUUCCCUCCAAAUAAAGGAGACGGAGUGCUGAUUCGCU
This 2509-nucleotide long non-coding RNA is filed under the name Toxoplasma gondii VEG. The record is from RNAcentral. Lineage: Eukaryota; Apicomplexa; Conoidasida; Eucoccidiorida; Sarcocystidae.